Molecule: ribosomal RNA, 254 nt
Filed under: uncultured bacterium
Lineage: Bacteria
Description: partial 16S ribosomal RNA
Rfam family: Bacterial small subunit ribosomal RNA
Source: RNAcentral
UACGGGGGGGGGCAAGCGUUGUUCGGAAUUACUGGGCGUAAAGGGCUCGUAGUCGGCCAACUAAGUCAGACGUGAAAUCCCCAGGCUCAACCUGGGAACUGCGUCUGAUACUGGAUGGCUUGAAUCCGGGAGAGGGAUGCAGAAUUCCAGGUGUAGCGGUGAAAUGCGUAGAUAUCUGGAGGAAUACCGGUGGCGAAGGCGGCAUCCUGGACCGGCAUUGACGCUGAGGAGCGAAAGCUAGGGGAGCAAACGGG